CUUCAAUAGCAAUCAGCUUAAGAAAAAGGCUUUUCAAUAAAUCAAAAAUAAAUUCUUUGAAGAACAAUGUAAAUAUAUAUAUAUUUUUUUAAUCCUGUCAAAACAAAGCAUAGUAGUCAUUGUUAGCUGUGCAUGUGACUGGAAGCAAUCUAUAAGAAGUUAUGUUGGAGCUAGCGAGCUGGCAGAAUUUCUAGCAUGCUAGAAUAGCAAUAUUUCUUCUGGUUCUAAGGUGGUGAGCUGGCAGAAUCAUUUGCAUACUGGACACAAUGCUUAGCAGCAUUUUGUCUGUCUUUACGUUCUGAGUUCAAAUUCCGUCGAGGUUAACUUUACAUUACAUCCUUUGUGGGAUGGAGUUGAUAGAAUAAGUACCAGUUGAGCAUUGGGGUCGAUCUAAUUGACUUACCCCACUCUCUUGAAAUUGCGGGGCCUUGUGCCAAAAUUUGAAACCAGUAUUUUCUGGCUCUUUAUGUUGUGAGUUCAAAUGCCACCAAGGUUGAUUUUUACCUUUUACCUUUCAGAGUUAAUGAAAUAAAGUACCAGUCAAGUACUUGGGGCCUGUGUAAUUGAUUAUCCCCCUCUCUCUAAAAUUGCUGACUUUGUGCCCAAAAAUUUGAAAUCACUACGAUAGAGCUGAAAUUACAUAUGCCCACAAAGACAAAUUGCUUAUUGAGUAGUAAAAUUUGUAUAAGCUGGUAGUGCUCCAGCAUGGCUUUAGCUGUGGUGGCUAAAUCAAAGUGAAGAAAAGAAUAUUUCAGGCGUAAAAUGUCGUUCCCUGCAUGGCUGUUGUAUUGAGGCCUACCUUGGCGACAUCACUAAAGUGAAAUGUGAUGCUAUUAUAUGUGCAAGUGAUAGUAGAGUUUCCAUAAAUGCAGGUCUUUUGGGUGAAAUAAAAGAAGCAGGCGGUUCACAGAUAUUAAAAGAAAUUGAACAUAAUCUGAAAAAACUUCCUGACAAAAAUAUCAAAUCAGGGCAGGUUCUGGUGACAGGUGCUGGUAGAAUGAGUUGCAAGCAUGUCAUGUAUGUUAAUGGCCCUGCAAUAUCAAAUGGAAUCGACACUGUUGAAUCUGCAAUAAUGGCAUGUUUGAUCAAAGCUGAAGACAUGAAGUUACAAUCCAUUGCUUUUCCUGCCCUUGGUUCUGGUUAGUAUAUAUAUAUAUAUAUAUGUAUUUGAGAGAAAAGCUGAACAUUAGAAGCAUCAGUUGUGGUGUGCAAGAGAGACGAUUGCGCUGGUAUGGACAUGUGGUGAGAAUGGAUGAGGAUAGCUGCGUGAAAAAGUGCCACACCCUAACAGUUGAGGGAACCCGUGGAAGAGGUAGGCCCAGGAAGACCUGGGAUGAGGUGGUGAGGCAAGACCUUCGUACAUUGGGCCUCACCGAGGCGAUGACUACUGACCGAGACCUUUGGAAAUGUGCUGUGCGUGAGAAGACCCGGCAAGCCAAGUGAGAUCGUUGCCAGG
Molecule: unclassified non-coding RNA, 1456 nt
Organism: Octopus bimaculoides (California two-spot octopus)
Lineage: Eukaryota; Metazoa; Mollusca; Cephalopoda; Octopoda; Octopodidae
Source: RefSeq, a predicted model, not a curated record